CCUCAUCCGAAAGGUGAGGGAUCAUUCAUUCAUUCCUUCUUUUAAAAAUUAUCAUUAUUUUAUUUUACAUAAAAUAAUAUAUUAAAUAGCAUAAAAUAAUUAUAAAAUUAUUUUAAUAUAUGUAUUAUAUAAAUAGAUCUAGUUAGUUUGUUUUUUGAGACAGGGUUUCUUGGUGUAUCCCUGGCUAUCCUAAACUCACUCUGUAGACCAGGCUGGCCUCAGACUCACAGAGAUCCACCGCCUCUGCCUCUCAAGUGCUUGGACUAAAGGUGUGCACCACCACUGCCCAGCUAAAACAGUAUUUUUAAUCCCGCAUCUCUGUGUGGGUUUGCGCAUGGGAGUGCAGUGCGUUCGGGUGCCCUGGAGCUGGAGUUAAAGGGCCCUGUGAGCCGCUUACUGUGGGUGCUGGGAAUGGGUCCUCUGGAAGAACAGUAUGCGCUCUGACCUGAGACAGCGUCUUCCUGUGUAGCCUAGGGUGGAUUGUAGCCAAGACGGAGAUUUCUAGCCUCUUACCUCUGCCAGAACCUUUGUUCUCGAGUAACUGACGGGAGAAACACACGGACUCGGCUCCUUCGUAACUCAUGCAAUAGCAUCUUGAUGGUAGCUCGGUGUGUCCGUCAUAAAGUGGUUCACACCACAGCAUCUGGUAGAACUGUGACUUUGUCAGCCCACUGGGGAGGAUGGGUGUUCAGUUUUCAGCCCUCACAGCAGGCUGCUCAUGGCCAGGAGAAUCCCACUCCCCCUUCUGGCAUCCAAAGGCACCAGACACGCGUGUGGGAUAUACAUGCAUGCAGGCACUCACACAUAUAUAUAAAAUAAAAACAACCGUUAAAAAAAAAAAA
RNAcentral lists this long non-coding RNA (842 nucleotides) under Rattus norvegicus (Norway rat). Its description in RNAcentral is "long non-coding RNA NONRATT022864". Lineage: Eukaryota; Metazoa; Chordata; Mammalia; Rodentia; Muridae. The record is from RNAcentral.